CCCUUAGAUGUCCUGGGCCGCGCGCGCGCUACAAUGACUCACUCAGAAAGUUUUUCCUGAUCCGGAAGGAUUCGGGUAAUCUUCAUAGCAUGAGUCGUGUUAGGGAUCGAUCUUUGCAAUUAUAGAUCUUGAACGAGGAAUGCCUAGUAAGUGCAGCUCAUCAGGCUGUACUGAUUACGUCCUUGCCCUUUGUACACACCGCCCGUCGCACCUACCGAUUGAAUGUUUCGGUGAAGAUUCCGGAUAGGACUUUUUUGAUUUAUUUCAAUUCUGUCUUAAAAGCUAUCUAAACCUCAACAUUUAGAGGAAGGUGAAGUCGUAACA
Molecule: ribosomal RNA, 324 nt
Filed under: uncultured eukaryote
Lineage: Eukaryota
Description: partial 18S ribosomal RNA
Rfam family: Eukaryotic small subunit ribosomal RNA
Source: RNAcentral